CACCGGCGGCCCGAGUGGUGGCCACUAUUAUUGGGUCUAAAGGGUCCGUAGCCGGUUUGGUCAGUCUUCCGGGAAAUCUGACGGCUCAACCGUUAGGCUUUCGGGGGAUACUACCAGGCUUGGGACCGGGAGAGGUAAGAGGUACUACGGGGGUAGGAGUGAAAUCUUGUAAUCCCUGUGGGACCACCAGUGGCGAAGGCGUCUUACCAGAACGGGUCCGACGGUGAGGGACGAAAGCUGGGGGCACGAACCGGAUUAGAUACCCGGGUAGUCCCAGCUGUAAACUAUGCUCGCUAGGUGUCAGGGACGGUGCGACCGUUUCUGGUGCCGCAGGGAAGCCGUGAAGCGAGCCACCUGGGAAGUACGGUCGCAAGGCUGAA
This 380-nucleotide ribosomal RNA is filed under the name uncultured euryarchaeote. Its description in RNAcentral is "bacterial SSU rRNA". It matches the Rfam family "Archaeal small subunit ribosomal RNA", at positions 474 to 853 of the family's 1478-position model. The record is from RNAcentral. RNAcentral also lists the same sequence under 1 other name. Lineage: Archaea; Methanobacteriati; Methanobacteriota.